AGUGAACGCUGGCGGCAGGCCUAACACAUGCAAGUCGAGCGGCAGCGGGUCCCCGCGAGGGGAUGCCGGCGAGCGGCGGACGGGUGAGGAACACAUCGGAAUCUGCCUGGUUGUGGGGGAUAACGUAGGGAAACUUACGCUAAUACCGCAUGAGACCCUGAGUCGACGGACUGGGGGUGAAAGUGAGGGACCUUCGGGCCUCACGCGACCAGAUGAGCCGAUGUCGGAUUAGCUAGUUGGCGGGGUAACGGCCCGCCAAGGCGACGAUCCGUAGCUGGUCUGAGAGGAUGAUCAGCCACACUGGGACUGAGACACGGCCCAGACUCCUACGGGAGGCAGCAGUGGGGAAUCUUGGGC
This 357-nucleotide ribosomal RNA is filed under the name uncultured bacterium. Its description in RNAcentral is "bacterial SSU rRNA". It matches the Rfam family "Bacterial small subunit ribosomal RNA", at positions 30 to 369 of the family's 1533-position model. The record is from RNAcentral.